This 305-nucleotide ribosomal RNA is filed under the name uncultured bacterium. RNAcentral describes it as "bacterial SSU rRNA". It matches the Rfam family "Bacterial small subunit ribosomal RNA", at positions 333 to 653 of the family's 1533-position model. The record is from RNAcentral.
UGAUGCCUACGGGACGCAGCAGUGGGGAAUAUUGCACAAUGGGGGAAACCCUGAUGCAGCAACGCCGCGUGAAGGAAGAAGGCUUUCGGGUUGUAAACUUCUUUUAAGAGGGAAGAGCAGAAGACGGUACCUCUUGAAUAAGCCACGGCUAACUACGUGCCAGCAGCCGCGGUAAUACGUAGGUGGCAAGCGUUGUCCGGAUUUACUGGGUGUAAAGGGCGUGCAGCCGGGAAGACAAGUCAGAUGUGAAAUCCCGCGGCUCAACCGCGGAACUGCAUUUGAAACUGUUUUUCUUGAGUACCGGG